This 253-nucleotide ribosomal RNA is filed under the name uncultured bacterium. RNAcentral's name for it is "partial 16S ribosomal RNA". It matches the Rfam family "Archaeal small subunit ribosomal RNA", at positions 474 to 727 of the family's 1478-position model. The record is from RNAcentral.
UACAGAGGGUGCAAGCGUUGUUCGGAAUUAUUGGGCCUAAAGCGUCCGUAGCUGGCUUGUUAGAUGCCUGGGUAAAUCGAUGCGCUUAACGCAUCGAAUUCCGGGUAGACCGGCAAGCUCGAGACCGGGAGAGGUGUAGGGUACUCGGGGGGUAGGGGUAAAAUCCUGUAAUCCUCCGGGGACGACCAGUGGCGAAGGCGCUACACUAGAACGGCUCUGACAGUGAGGGACGAAGCCCUGGGGCGCAAACCGG